GAUGAACGCUGGCGGCGUGCCUAAUACAUGCAAGUCGAGCGAACAGACGAGGAGCUUGCUCCUCUGACGUUAGCGGCGGACGGGUGAGUAACACGUGGAUAACCUACCUAUAAGACUGGGAUAACUUCGGGAAACCGGAGCUACUACCGGAUAAUAUAUUGAACCGCAUGGUUCAAUAGUGAAAGACGGUUUUGCUGUCACUUAUAGAUGGAUCCGCGCCGGAUUAGCUAGUUGGUAAGGUAACGGCUUACCAAGGCAACGAUGCGUAGCCGACCUGAGAGGAUGAUCGGCCACACUGGAACUGAGACACGGUCCAGACUCCUACGGGAGGCAGCAGUAGGGAAUCUUCGGCAAUGGGCGAAAGCCUGACGCAGCAACGCCGCGUGAGUGAUGAAGGUCUUCGGGUCGUAAAGCUCUGUUAUUAGGGAAGAACAAAUGUGUAAGUAACUAUGCACGUCUUGACGGUACCUAAUCAGAAAGCCACGGCUAACUACGUG
RNAcentral lists this ribosomal RNA (497 nucleotides) under uncultured bacterium. Its description in RNAcentral is "partial 16S ribosomal RNA". It matches the Rfam family "Bacterial small subunit ribosomal RNA", at positions 28 to 507 of the family's 1533-position model. The record is from RNAcentral.